This 425-nucleotide ribosomal RNA is filed under the name uncultured bacterium. Its description in RNAcentral is "partial 16S ribosomal RNA". It matches the Rfam family "Bacterial small subunit ribosomal RNA", at positions 354 to 796 of the family's 1533-position model. The record is from RNAcentral.
GUGGGGAAUCUUGCGCAAUGGGCGAAAGCCUGACGCAGCCAUGCCGCGUGGAUGAUGAAGGUCUUAGGAUUGUAAAAUCCUUUCACCGGUGAAGAUAAUGACUGUAGCCGGAGAAGAAGCCCCGGCUAACUUCGUGCCAGCAGCCGCGGUAAUACGAAGGGGGCUAGCGUUGCUCGGAUUUACUGUGCGUAAAGGGCGCGUAGGCGGACAUUUAAGUCAGGGGUGAAAUCCCGGGGCUCAACCUCGGAACUGCCUUUGAUACUGGGUGUCUUGAGUAUGAGAGAGGUGUGUGGAACUCCGAGUGUAGAGGUGAAAUUCGUAGAUAUUCGGAAGAACACCAGUGGCGAAGGCGACACACUGGCUCAUUACUGACGCUGAGGCGCGAAAGCGUGGGGAGCAAACAGGAUUAGAAACCCUGGUAGUCC